GGGGCCCGCACAAGCGGUGGAGCAUGUGGUUUAAUUCGAUGCAACGCGAAGAACCUUACCUGGUCUUGACAUCCACGGAAGUUUUCAGAGAUGAGAAUGUGCCUUCGGGAACCGUGAGACAGGUGCUGCAUGGCUGUCGUCAGCUCGUGUUGUGAAAUGUUGGGUUAAGUCCCGCAACGAGCGCAACCCUUAUCCUUUGUUGCCAGCGGUCCGGCCGGGAACUCAAAGGAGACUGCCAGUGAUAAACUGGAGGAAGGUGGGGAUGACGUCAAGUCAUCAUGGCCCUUACGACCAGGGCUACACACGUGCUACAAUGGCGCAUACAAAGAGAAGCGACCUCGCGAGAGCAAGCGGACCUCAUAAAGUGCGUCGUAGUCCGGAUUGGAGUCUGCAACUCGACUCCAUGAAGUCGGAAUCGCUAGUAAUCGUGGAUCAGAAUGCCACGGUGAAUACGUUCCCGGGCCUUGU
Molecule: ribosomal RNA, 468 nt
Filed under: Escherichia coli
Lineage: Bacteria; Pseudomonadati; Pseudomonadota; Gammaproteobacteria; Enterobacterales; Enterobacteriaceae
Description: bacterial SSU rRNA
Rfam family: Bacterial small subunit ribosomal RNA
Source: RNAcentral